This 497-nucleotide ribosomal RNA is filed under the name uncultured bacterium. Its description in RNAcentral is "partial 16S ribosomal RNA". It matches the Rfam family "Bacterial small subunit ribosomal RNA", at positions 28 to 507 of the family's 1533-position model. The record is from RNAcentral.
GAUGAACGCUGGCGGCGUGCCUAAUACAUGCAAAUCGAGCGAACAGACGAGGAGCUUGCUCCUCUGACGUUAGCGGCGGACGGGUGAGUAACACGUGGAUAACCUACCUAUAAGACUGGGAUAACUUUGGGAAACCGGAGCUAAUACCGGAUAAUAUAUUGAACCGCAUGGUUCAAUAGUGAAAGACGGUUUUGCUGUCACUUAUAGAUGGAUCCGCGCCGCAUUAGCUAGUUGGUAAGGUAACGGCUUACCAAGGCGACGAUGCGUAGCCGACCUGAGAGGGUGAUCGGCCACACUGGAACUGAGACACGGUCCAGACUCCUACGGGAGGCAGCAGUAGGGAAUCUUCCGCAAUGGGCGAAAGCCUGACGGAGCAACGCCGCGUGAGUGAUGAAGGUCUUCGGAUCGUAAAACUCUGUUAUUAGGGAAGAACAAAUGUGUAAGUAACUAUGCACGUCUUGACGGUACCUAAUCAGAAAGCCACGGCUAACUACGUG